GACGAACGCUGGCGGCGUGCCUAAUACAUGCAAGUAGAACGCUGAAGGAGGAGCUUGCUCUUCUGGAUGAGUUGCGAACGUGUGAGUAACGCGUAGGUAACCUGCCUGGUAGCGGGGGAUAACUAUUGGAAACGAUAGCUAAUACCGCAUAAGAGUAGAUGUUGCAUGACAUUUGCUUAAAAGGUGCAAUUGCAUCACUACCAGAUGGACCUGCGUUGUAUUAGCUAGUUGGUGGGGUAACGGCUCACCAAGGCGACGAUACAUAGCCGACCUGAGAGGGUGAUCGGCCACACUGGGACUGAGACACGGCCCAGACUCCUACGGGAGGCAGCAGUAGGGAAUCUUCGGCAAUGGACGGAAGUCUGACUGAGCAACGCCGCGUGAGUGAAGAAGGUUUUCGGAUCGUAAAGCUCUGUUGUAAGAGAAGAACGAGUGUGAGAGUGGAAAGUUCACACUGUGACGGUAUCUUACCAGAAAGAGACGGCUAACUACGUG
Molecule: ribosomal RNA, 495 nt
Filed under: uncultured bacterium
Lineage: Bacteria
Description: partial 16S ribosomal RNA
Rfam family: Bacterial small subunit ribosomal RNA
Source: RNAcentral